This 420-nucleotide unclassified non-coding RNA is filed under the name Hevea brasiliensis (rubber tree). Lineage: Eukaryota; Viridiplantae; Streptophyta; Magnoliopsida; Malpighiales; Euphorbiaceae. The record is from RNAcentral.
GUUCUAAUGAGAGUGGUGCUUUUGGAAAUGCUGGCCUUGGUGCAUCAUUAUUUCCUGGAUUGGGUUUCAAUCCUCUCGGUGGGGUUGGAGCUGGACUUCCUGAGUUUGAGCAAGUGCAACAACAGUUGACUCAGAAUCCAAACAUGAUGAGGGAAAUAAUGAACAUGCCUGCAAUUCAGAAUUUGAUGAAUAACCCUGACUUGAUGCGAACCUUAAUUAUGAGCAAUCCUCAGAUGCGGGAUAUUAUUGACAGGAACCCAGAGCUUGCUCAUAUACUCAAUGACCCUGGAAUCCUUCGACAGACAUUAGAGGCUGCAAGGAAUCCUGAACUCAUGAGAGAGAUGAUGAGAAACACUGACAGAGCAAUGAGUAACAUCGAAUCUUCUCCAGAGGGAUUUAACAUGCUGAGGCGGAUGUAUG